This 667-nucleotide ribosomal RNA is filed under the name Paraeuchaeta norvegica. RNAcentral describes it as "SSU rRNA". It matches the Rfam family "Eukaryotic small subunit ribosomal RNA", at positions 24 to 689 of the family's 1831-position model. The record is from RNAcentral. RNAcentral also lists the same sequence under 6 other names. Lineage: Eukaryota; Metazoa; Arthropoda; Copepoda; Calanoida; Euchaetidae.
UCAUAUGCUUGUCUCAAAGAUUAAGCCAUGCAUGUCUAAGUACAAGCCUCACUAAGGUGAAACCGCGAAUGGCUCAUUAAAUCACACCUAAUCUACUGGAUAGUUAACAGUUACUUGGAUAACUGCGGUAAUUCUGGAGCUAAUACAUGCACAAAGCCCCGAACUUACGUGAGGGGCGCUUUUAUUAGAUCAAAACCAAACGGCUUCGGCUGUUCUCUUGGUGACUCUGAAUAACUUUGGGCUGAUCGCAUAGCCUAGCGCUGGCGACAUAUCCUUCGAAGGUGUGCCCUAUCAACUGUCGACUGUGGCAUAGACGCCCACAGUGGUUUUGACGGGUAACGGGGAAUCAGGGUUCGAUUCCGGAGAGGGAGCCUUAGAAACGGCUACCACAUCUAAGGAAGGCAGCAGGCACGCAAAUUACCCAAUGACCGAAGGUCGAGGUAGUGACGAAAAAUAACGAUACGGGACUCAUCUGAGGCCCCGUAAUCGGAAUGAGUACACUUUAAAACCGUCCCCGAGGAUCUAUUGGAGGGCAAGUCUGGUGCCAGCAGCCGCGGUAAUUCCAGCUCCAAUAGCGUAUAUUAAAGUUGUUGUGGUUAAAAAGCUCGUAGUUGGAUCUCGGCGGUCUGAGGGCGGUUCACUUGCUAGUGCUACUGCCCUAUAGACC